CGCAUGAGUUUAUUAUAAAAGAAUCCUUCAUUCUCAGCGACUGCUUUCACAACGACCUUGUUCAGCCAUAGAUACAUCAUUUACAGACUGGGAGAAAUACAACACUAUGUUUCCUCGAUGGAUGGUGCUUGCUAUUUUAGUUGUGUUGGGAGGUCUAGGCGUACACGGCAGGAUACCGCCUCCGCCGCCUACCACUGCCACACCGCCUACCACUGCCACACCGCCUACUACGACAACUGGUCAUCCUUACACCACCCCUCCGUUUCCAACCACCUCAGGCUGCAACCCUGCGGACGAAUCCACGUACUAUGACGAGGUUUCCGGAUGUCGGGCUGGGUGUUCGUGUUGGGACGGUCAACUGGUGUGCUGGGAUUCCGCUGAGUGCUUCAACCGAUAAGAAGGCAUGGAACAGGUGAGGCCGAACGCUCUGCUUGUCAUGACUACCAACAAUAUUCUGUUCGCACAAGUCGUUCCGUGGCCAUAAACUGAUUCCUAGAAACACGUGGUUCUCUUCAAGAGAAUAUGCCUAAAGAUUAAUCUCGUACAAGAGAUUUCAAGUAAUAAAAAAUGGCAAAAACUU
This is a long non-coding RNA of Liolophura sinensis, 580 nucleotides long. RefSeq lists it as uncharacterized. NCBI's taxonomy places the organism in Eukaryota, Metazoa, Mollusca, Polyplacophora, Chitonida, Chitonidae. The record is from RefSeq and is a predicted model, not a curated record. The transcript is spliced from 2 exons.